RNAcentral lists this ribosomal RNA (559 nucleotides) under uncultured bacterium. RNAcentral's name for it is "bacterial SSU rRNA". It matches the Rfam family "Bacterial small subunit ribosomal RNA", at positions 338 to 916 of the family's 1533-position model. The record is from RNAcentral.
CCUACGGGAGGCAGCAGUAGGGAAUAUUGGGCAAUGGGCGAAAGCCUGACCCAGCAACGCCGCGUGUACGAUGAAGGUCUUCGGAUCGUAAAGUACUUUUCUGGGAGAUGAGAAAGGACAGUAUCCCAGGAAUAAGCUUCGGCUAACUACGUGCCAGCAGCCGCGGUAAAACGUAGGAAGCGAGCGUUAUCCGGAUUCACUGGGUUUAAAGGGUGCGUAGGUGGGUUGGUAAGUCAGUGGUGAAAUCCCCGAGCUUAACUUGGGAACUGCCAUUGAUACUAUCAGUCUUGAAUACCGUGGAGGUCAGCGGAAUAUGUCAUGUAGCGGUGAAAUGCUUAGAUAUGACAUAGAACACCAAUUGCGAAGGCAGCUGGCUACUCGAAUAUUGACACUGAGGCACGAAAGCGUGGGGAUCAAACAGGAUUAGAUACCCUGGUAGUCCACGCCCUAAACUAUGGAUACUCGACAUUUGCGAUAAACUGUAAGUGUCUGAGCGAAAGCAUUAAGUAUCCCACCUGGGAAGUACGAUCGCAAGAUUGAAACUUAAAGGAAUUGACGG